This 253-nucleotide ribosomal RNA is filed under the name uncultured bacterium. RNAcentral's name for it is "partial 16S ribosomal RNA". It matches the Rfam family "Bacterial small subunit ribosomal RNA", at positions 524 to 776 of the family's 1533-position model. The record is from RNAcentral.
UACGUAGGGUGCGAGCGUUACUCGGAAUUACUGGGCGUAAAGCGUGCGCAGGCGGCUUUGCAAGACAGAUGUGAAAUCCCCGGGCUCAACCUGGGAACUGCAUUUGUGACUGCAAGGCUGGAGUGCGGCAGAGGGGGAUGGAAUUCCGCGUGUAGCAGUGAAAUGCGUAGAUAUGCGGAGGAACACCGAUGGCGAAGGCAAUCCCCUGGGCCUGCACUGACGCUCAUGCACGAAAGCGUGGGGAGCAAACAGG